AAUCACAUACCUUUCAUAUGUAAACGAUAAAUAUCAUGUGAAAAACACAUACAUGUUAUUGCGUCCUUACGAUAACACUCAUCUGUCAAAACGAUAAACUGUAUGUCAUUCAACGAUACGCGUUUUGACAAUUGAAAGUUAUGUGAUUUGCAGAUGUGAAAAUUUCAUUGCUGUCUCCCCUGUCACAGUGCUUCAAGAUGGCGUCAACAAAAGAAGAGUUGCUUUCUGAUCUAGGUUUUUCGGAAGAAUCUCUCGAAAUUUUGAGCCGCUGCGGAAUUCACUUCUACGAGCUGCUGGUGUAUACGGCGGACGAUUUUAGGAAAAAUCUUAACCAGACUAAUGUUGCUUGGAGCUGCGAAGCUUUUUACGACUUCGUGCAGGCGUGGAGAACACGGAAUAAAUUAACAGUAUCGAAAGUGUUUUUAAGUGAUCUGGCGGCUCCGGAAAUACCUGUUGCAGUUAACAGUGGCCAAGCAAGUCAAAUUAGUGGCCAAAUCGAAACAGAUAAAGAUAGAUUAAUGUGGGGCAAGAUGGAUUGAUAUUGACUACAAAUUUCUAAACAUCGGUGCAUCCAAUGGAGUGCAGAAGCUGGAAUCUGCAACAGCCGCUAUUUCUUCAUUCAUCGCAAAAAAAAGCCGCCGAUCCGUCAGCUGUAGGAUUAUUGAAAUAUUUAACCAACUGCGAUAUUAACCAAGAUACCAAGCUGUGUGCACUUUUACUUGGACUGAGUACUGUUCUCCCACCAAACAUUGUUUCUACAAAGUUCAAGCCAACGAUUUACGAGGCUCAGGAGGAUUCGAUAAUAUUUGUAGAUUCUAGUGACCAAAUUACUACGAAGUUGAAAUGCACCUAUAAAUUAUAUGCGGAUAAAAAGCUUCCGAUUUAGCCCAAGCUAGUUGUUGUCAGAACAGGAUUGGACACUCUAACCGGAAGAUUUUAUGUGCAUCAUCCGGAUUUCUGCUUCGAGUUACCAACGGCUACAAGGGCCAUCGACGUGCUGAUCAAAACCACACACACAUUUGGUUUAAAGUACUCGAAGAUAUCAAAACUCGUUUGGCAUUUUAAAAGUUCCUUCGCUUACAACAUUGAACAUCCUGAGACCUACGCCAGUGUUAGCAGGCUCAAUAAUUUUAUUGCUCUAGUGGAAAGCACCUCUACCGAGAAUGUUUAGAUGUAUGUUCGAAUAAUGUAACACAUCUUUCAAAGCCGCUGAAUAUAUUACACAUUUGAGAGAUUUCCAUAGAGUUCCCGUAAAUCAUCACUACAGAUGCACCGUGCCUUCAUGCAGACAAACUUUUUCCAAACAAUAUCCGUUCAAAAAACACAUUUCGCCACGAGGAACUAAUCAGUCAAGAAUGCAAUCAAAUACCAUUGCACGUCGAUCGUCCGUUAGUAUCAGUUGCUAAUGAGAGUAAUGAUUUUAAAAGACAGAAAAUAAGCGAAGUAGACAUAAGUAAUCCAGUAGUCGAAUCGACAGACAGACUAAAUGGAAUCGACAAAUCAGCACUAGCAUUAAUUUUAAGUUUACACGCGAAAGCUAACAUGAGUAGAAAAGACGUAUACGAUAUCCAGAGAAAAAUAAAGUUAAUGUUCGAAAUGAUACCACCUGAUGCAGAAGCAAAUUUUUAUUAUGAAAAUUAUAUUUCAAAUCUUAAAAAUGUUUUUAAUUCCGUAAGUUCUGAUUUUAAGCUUUUUAAUCAUUUGAAAAAUACAAACCGCUUUGAGUUACCAUCUAUCACAAUUAUAAAUAACAAAGAAGAGCUGGAAUCGAAAGAGAUAGAUAUGGAAUGUGAUACAGAUACUGGAAUAAAUAAAAGUUACAUGAUUAAAAUGCCCCUUAAAUUUCAAAUUAAAUCAUUUUUAGAAUCUAAAAAAAAACAUUCAGUAUAAUGUUAUAAAACGCAGAAAAACUAGAAAGCUCCGGAAAAAUUUGCAAUUUUGUAAAUGGCUCUAAAUGGAAACAAGUACGUCAAAAAUAUCAGGGAGAUUCAGUCAUUCCUCUUUGGCUUUAUGCAGACGAGUUUGAGAUUAAUGACUCUCAAAGUUCCCACUCUAACAGACAUUCUGUUUGUGGUAUUUAUUAUAAUUUUCCCACAAUUCCAUCUGAGUUCAGCUCAAAGCUUUGCAACAUAUUCGUAGCCGGUAUGGUUAAAAAAAACUGAUAUGAAACAUAACUGUAUUAACAAACUUAUCACUGUUUUAUUAAAGGACUUUAAAUCAUUCGAAGAAAAAGGAAUACAAUUAAAUAUUGAUGGAAAGUUAGAAAAUGUAAGAAUCGUUUUAGGUUUACUUCAGGGCGAUAACUUGGGUAUACACACUUUAUUGCAGUUUUCUAGUGGAUUUCAUGCUACAUUUUACUGUCGCUUUUGCCGCAGACCAAAAGAGUUGUUGAAAUCAGAUUUCAAGGAGCAUGCAGACUGUUUACGCAGAAGGCUAGAUUACGACGAGGAUGUUGAAGAAAACAAACAGAGCGAAACAGGCAUCGCUGGAAAAUCUAGUUUUAAUCAGCUACCGUCUUUUCACGUUACUGAGAAUAAAAGUGUCGACGCAAUGCACGAUCUUUUCAGUAACGGGAUUUGCAAAUACGGAUUGGUAGAAAUAUUAAAUUUUUACAUAUAUGAAAAACAAUAUUUCACCAUACAAGAUUUCAAUGACCAGAGAAAAAAAAUUAGUAAAAACUGCUUGGAUAGCGAAUUGCAAAAAAUGCCUGACAUUUCAAGUCAUUCCAGCAGCAAAGACAAGAGGAAAACUGUAUUGUUAAAAUUGACAUCUAGCGAAAUGCGUUUCUUGAUUCAUUACUUUCCUUUAAUUGCGGGUCGAUUUAUUCCAAGAGGAGAUAAAGUUUGGACCUAUUGUGUGGCGUUAGUAAAACUAGUUGAAAUGUGUCUAAAACGAUCAUUCACAGAAACAGAAAUCGAUAAGCUUCAGGAAGCUAUCACCAUGCAUCACGAGCUGUACAAAAAAUUAUUUAAUAAGGAUUUAAAACCGAAGCACCAUUUUGUCGUUCACUAGCCUUCUGUAAUUCAAACUUCAGGACCUGUAGAGCAGAUGAUGUGUUUUCGAAGAAUUUCGAACAAUACGCUCACAUCAUGUCGUCAUGCAAGAGCAUUUGUUACACUUUAUGCGUUAAAGCAUCUAUGAAGUUUGCUUACGAUUUACUAAACGAGAAUUUUUUAAAGGUUGAGUUGAAUAACAAUUUUGAAAUUACUGAUAUUUGUUUGCGCUAUUACUUCAAAGAUAUUGCCCAGUUAACUAUCUUUAACAAUGGUUUUGAUGUCAUGAUGUCUAAAAAGAUUAACUAUAAAGGUACUGUUUAUAAAUCUGGAAGUUUCAUUGCGUUAGAUGGUAAAAAUGGUUUGAGCUUGUAUCAAGAAGUGGAAAUCGUUCACCAGAAUUGUGGUUACUUUUUAAUAACUCAAAACUGGAAAGUAGGUCACUUCGACGAGCAUUAUAUGGGCUUCGAGGCAAUAGAAUCAAUCCCAACUUGUGAAAACAUAGAUAUUGAAGAAAUUAAGAAUCCACCAAUAAUGUUACACAGAAUUGAAGAGCUAUUUUACUUUCGUUUAAAACCUAGUUUUAAUGAUUAAUGAAAUAUUUUUAAUUUUAUGUAUAUAGCAUACAAUAAAUAAAAUCACACAUUGUUACUUGUUACUGGAA
Molecule: long non-coding RNA, 3657 nt
Organism: Wyeomyia smithii (pitcher-plant mosquito)
Lineage: Eukaryota; Metazoa; Arthropoda; Insecta; Diptera; Culicidae
Exons: 5
Source: RefSeq, a predicted model, not a curated record